CAUGCCGCGUGCAGGACGAAGGCGCUAUGCGUCGUAAACUGCUUUUAUACGGGAAGAAUCUCUCUGAUUCGUUCAGGGACUGACGGUACUGUAAGAAUAAGGAUCGGCUAACUCCGUGCCAGCAGCCGCGGUAAUACGGAGGAUCCAAGCGUUAUCCGGAUUUAUUGGGUUUAAAGGGUGCGUAGGCGUCCUUGUAAGUUAUAGUUGAAAUCUCCGCGCUUAACGCGGAAACCGGCUGUAAAACUGCAGGGAUUGAGUAUAGUGGAGGUGGGCGGAAUGUGUCAUGUAGCGGUGAAAUGCAUAGAUAUGACACAGAACACCGAUUGCGAAGGCAGCUCGCUACACUAUUACUGACGCUGAGGCACGAAAGCGUGGGGAUCAAACAGGAUUAGAUACCCUGGUAGUCCACGCCCUAAACGAUGAUUACUCGAUGUGUGCGAUAUACAGUACGCGUCUAAGCAAAAGCAUUAAGUAAUCCACCUGGGGAAUACGGUCGCAAGAUUGAAACUCAAAGGAAUUGACGGGGGCCCGCACAAGCGGAGGAGCAUGUGGUUUAAUUCGAUGAUACGCGAGGAACCUUACCUGGGCUUGAAAGUUAGCGAAUGAUCUGGAAACAGGUCAGCC
This 624-nucleotide ribosomal RNA is filed under the name uncultured bacterium. RNAcentral's name for it is "bacterial SSU rRNA". It matches the Rfam family "Bacterial small subunit ribosomal RNA", at positions 393 to 1016 of the family's 1533-position model. The record is from RNAcentral.